Molecule: long non-coding RNA, 747 nt
Organism: Ipomoea nil (Japanese morning glory)
Lineage: Eukaryota; Viridiplantae; Streptophyta; Magnoliopsida; Solanales; Convolvulaceae
Exons: 3
Source: RefSeq, a predicted model, not a curated record
CCUUUACAAAACUAUGUAGUCCAAUUGGAACUACUAACCAGUUACACCCAACAAAACCCUAACACUACCUAUUCUUUGUAAAUCGAUUCUGGAAAUUUAACGACAUACACAUCUAUACACCAUUCUUUUUCUAUCUCGAACUGUCGUUCUACCAAUCUCCUUCUCUAACCUAUUCUCUAUAUCUUUCGAUGUAUACGAUUCACAAAUCUAGACUAAUUACAUCAAAGAAAAGUGUUAUCUUGUGUUCAGCGUUUUCAAUUCUACUAAACACCACUCAACAGAUGGAUUGGAACAAACGUUCUUAUGUUAAAUCUAAAAGAAAAUCAGCAACCACGACUACCACAUCUAUAAGGUGUACAGGAAAGUGUUGCAUUUACACUCUCUCAAUACACUGACAAAAAAAGAAGAGACAUAGGGAACCAAAUUGGUGCAGAUAUAGUAGACAAAUGGAAAGCAAAGAAGAUGAGUAUUGCAAACCAAAAAAUGACAACAUAGCUCCGCACACAAUGCAAUCUAAUGGCCUUAGAAGUCUGCUGCGGGUGAAGCUGGGCACCAACUAUGAACUGCCCAGUCAUGUUGGUUUUUGAAAGCUGAAAGUUGUAAUAUUUUGCUUCGUUUUGUGGUAGCACAGAUGAAAGAAAGUUGUAAUAUUUUGCUUUGCUUUGCUUUGAGGCCUGAAUGUGUAGCUAUAUAUAACCAGCAAACUUAGAGUCGGACAAUUGCAAAAAUAUUAAAAUAUUACCUAUG